UCAAGUGCCCUAAUGGCCAUAGCAGAAGCGCUCCCGUCGUGGCCUUGUCAGAUCCUGACGAAUCUGUGAAUUCUGCU
This is a non-coding RNA of Crocodylus porosus (Australian saltwater crocodile), 77 nucleotides long. NCBI's taxonomy places the organism in Eukaryota, Metazoa, Chordata, Crocodylia, Crocodylidae. The record is from Ensembl.